UUUCAGCGUGUUAUACGUAUAAAAACAGUGGUGUUAGGUUAGUAGUUGAAAUUCAGACUUUAUUUUAGUGUGUGAACUUUUUUGUCUAAAAUUCCGCGUGUCGAACAAUGUUUUCAGCGGCCCAUGACCCGUGGGAACUACACCCUUAGCGGCGGAGUUUCGUAAAAUCCGUUCUCAGUAGCUGGGUAAGUCUUGCUGGUGGAAAAUUGGAGUGUACGUUUGAUUAUGACUACUAUCAAAAGACCCCUAAGACAACCCACUGACCAAGAAAAGGGUUUGCAAUAUCCAAUUCACUGAUGAAGACAGAAACCGCUAUAACCGGUUAGAUUCAGUAGCUAUUCCUUCCCUUCCUACCAGGUUCUUCUGCAAGUCAAACAGCGUCGAAGCGACCCUUAACACAAUAUUUCCAUCAAGAUACCACUACCAGAAGAUGCCAGGUGUACAAACUCAACUACCUCGAAGCAAUUGUUGAUGAAGCAUAAUUAUUCUAUAAUUAGCAAGCCAAGAAUAAUGACAGUCAAAGGUGCAUUCAAAACUAAUCGAACACAUUAUGUUCGACCACUGUGCACCAAGAUUAAGCAUCUUCGGCCCGAGAUAUCGUGUCUUCUCAAAAGAGGUCGAAUAUUUAAAGAAACCUGGAUGCGAGAAGCCGAAAAUCGAUCUCAGUGGCGUGCACUUGGAGAGGCCUAUGUCCAGCAGUGGACUGCAAUAGGCUGAUGAUGAUGAUGAUUUAAAGAAAGACUACGGAAUGCUGCAACACUCUUUGAGAAGGCAUCAUUCCUGCACGUUACUCAAAAUUUGAUAAAACCGGCCCAAAUCUUCAAUUACAAACUCCAAAGAAAGAUAAAGGACGAAGGUUUAGUUUAGAAGAAAAGGUAUUGGCAUUGUCUCUGCACAAAAAAAGUCCUGUCAAUGGACUUUUACAUAAAUAUUUUCCUUUACCUUCGUCAAAAACCAUGACACGGUUACUCAGCAACAUAAAGAUAACCCCUGGAAUUACAAAAUAAUUUUUGGAAAGUUAAAAAAACUGUACAAUGCUGUGCGUUGUACGGUUGUGAACCUUGGACGCUAACUAAGCAGGAUAUAAGCAGACUGGAGGCUUUUGAGAUGUGGUGCUGGAGGAGGAUGGAGAGGCUGGACGGAAAGAGUUACUAACGAGUAAGUACUUAACAGAAUAGGAACUAAGAGACAACUACUGCAAAAUAUAGAGAAUAGGAGAGGAAAAAUGACACGUUAUACGUCACGACGAUUUUAUCAAAAACAUUGUGGAAGGGAAGGUCGAAGGAAAGAGGAAGGGUCAUCCAAGGUAUAGCUACAUCAAGCAAAUUAAAGAAAAGGUGAAGGUUGUGACGUAUAAGGAAGUUCAGGAGUUGGCGCUAGAUAGUUGUAAAUGGAAGGAGCUGCACCGACAAGAGUUAGCCGAGAGAGAGAGCCGAAAUGGAAAGACAGCUUGCUACUAGAGCUCAAGAGGAAGCCAGUGUUCAGUUGCAAUGUCGCAUGCAGUGCCAGAUCAGACGCCUGAACGACAACUUUGAGCAGGCACAGCUUCGCAUUCUGGGACUUCAAACCCGGGUCCGGGCCCUCAGGAGAACUGUAGAUCUAGAAGGAGAGACGAACCACAGAAGUGCACCUGUAAAUCCUUCUUCGAUAACCCUUGAAACUAGAUUAAACUUAAAACUUACUUUUAAAUGUCUUGUCUGUAAGUGUCAGAAAUCAAUAUUAUGUACAUAGGUAUACUGUAAAUGCUCAAAAAUGUCGUGUGAAAUGUUGUAGAUUUUGAAAGGGACCGUGUACUGUUUGAAUGUUAUUAUCACAUCUGAGGAACUCCUCGAGCUGAUCUGAGCAGCAGCAUUGCUUUGUCUAGGUGGUAGUGAUAUUAUGCCCGUUGUGUCCCAAAUUGAAACGUUUCAUCGAAAUAAAGCAAACUGGAUUAAACUUA
This 1939-nucleotide long non-coding RNA is filed under the name Helicoverpa zea (corn earworm). RNAcentral's name for it is "uncharacterized LOC124645133, transcript variant X1". Lineage: Eukaryota; Metazoa; Arthropoda; Insecta; Lepidoptera; Noctuidae. The record is from RNAcentral.